This 27-nucleotide non-coding RNA is filed under the name Rattus norvegicus (Norway rat). Lineage: Eukaryota; Metazoa; Chordata; Mammalia; Rodentia; Muridae. The record is from RNAcentral.
CAGAAGCUACUAAGUGAAAGGGCACCU